This 700-nucleotide ribosomal RNA is filed under the name uncultured bacterium. RNAcentral describes it as "bacterial SSU rRNA". It matches the Rfam family "Bacterial small subunit ribosomal RNA", at positions 55 to 718 of the family's 1533-position model. The record is from RNAcentral.
AGGUAGGUCAACGUCCAGUCCGACGGGUGGACCGGGGGAGGAAGGCUUCGGCCGGAAAACCUGUGCAUGAGUGGCGGACGCCCACUAACGCGUGGUACACCUGGCCUGUACAGGGGGAUAACACUUGAUAAAUAAGUGCUACUACCUCAUACCGGGGGAAUCCGCAUGGCUUUUCCCUGACGAAUCCGGUGGUACAGGAUGGGCCCGCGUCUGAUUAACCAGUUGGCAGGGAAACGGCCUACCAAAGCGACGAUCAGUACCCGGCCUGACAGGGCGGACGGCCACACUGGGACUGACACACGGCCCACACUCCUGCGGGAGGCAGCAGUAUGGAAUUUUCGUCGAUGGGCGCAAGCCUGAACGAGCGAUGCCGCGUGAGUGAAGAAGGCCUUCGGGUCGUAAAGCUCUGUUGCGGGGGAAAAAAGGCAACAUCAGGAAAUGGGUGCUGACUGAUGGUGCCCCGCCAGAAAGUCACGGCUAACUACGUGCCAGCAGCCGCGGUAAUACGUACGUGGAGAGCGUUAUCCGGAAUGAUUGGGCGUAAAGGGUGCGCAGGCGGUCCUGCAAGUCUGGAGUGAAACGCAUGAUCUCAACUCAUGCGUGGCUUUGGAAACUGGAGGACUGGAGAACAGGAAAGGCCGCUGGAACUCCAUGUGUAGCGCUUAAAUGCGUAAAUAUAUGAAACAACACCAAUUGGCGA